GACGGAGGGUGCUAGCGCUGUUCGGAAUUACUGGGCGUAAAGGGCGCGUAGGCGGCCACUUAAGUCGGGUGUGAAAGCCCGGGGCUCAACCCCGGAACUGCAUCCGAGACUGGGUGGCUGGAGAUCGGGAGAGGAGAGUGGAAUACCCAGUGUAGAGGUGAAAUUCGUAGAUAUUGGGUGGAACACCGGUGGCGAAAGCGGCUCUCUGGCCCGAUUCUGACGCUGAGGCGCGAAAGCGUGGGGAGCAAACAGG
This 253-nucleotide ribosomal RNA is filed under the name uncultured bacterium. Its description in RNAcentral is "partial 16S ribosomal RNA". It matches the Rfam family "Bacterial small subunit ribosomal RNA", at positions 524 to 776 of the family's 1533-position model. The record is from RNAcentral.